Molecule: long non-coding RNA, 762 nt
Organism: Neltuma alba
Lineage: Eukaryota; Viridiplantae; Streptophyta; Magnoliopsida; Fabales; Fabaceae
Exons: 4
Source: RefSeq, a predicted model, not a curated record
GCCCACUGUGAGCCUAUCUUUCCUGUUUCUGUGGUAGAGGCCAUUUUCUGUUAGCUUCUCAGGUUUUAUACUGUAGUCCAAUUUUCGAGAAGCUGAGUAAAUCUAAUUUGUCACUGCAGCUGCAAAUUUAAGGGCAAUAUGCCUCUUGUUGUUCAUGCAGUCAGACUAGCCUAGCAGUUGUUUAACCAAUUUAGGUCUAGAUAAACUGGCAAGACAUUGAUAUAAACUUAUAGGAAGAAAAAUUUCCAAUUGUUGAACUUUUAGUUGUAAAGUACAAUUCUCUCCUUCACGAGUUUGGUGUGAGGCUGCAUUGAAGGAGUACUGUGUUCUAUUGGGAAGUUAUUUUUCCAUUUCCGAAGCAGCCACCCAUAUUUGUAGCUUGAUGCUGUUACUGGAAAGAUACAUUCAACACUGGAGCAGCUGAAUGGGUUCUUAGUUGAGUCAUGCCCAUUGGAACCUGUGAACUAAUCUGUUGCUGCUGCUUUUGUCAUUAGUCACUUCUGAAUAUUGUCAGGUACUCGGAAUUGCUACCGUCGAUUGUUGAUGGGAAUGAACCUGUUUGACUCAGGUGUUGCUAUGAAGAUGCAGUGUUUGAAAAGCUCAACGGGUACAAAACCCAUUCAGUUUCAACCGGUGUCCAUUUGUUGCUUGGAGGUUUAUCUACAGAAGGUGACGCGAAAAAACUGGGAAUCAAGACAACCUUCGUAGAAGAAAACCACAAGCUACUCGGAACAACCCCACCCCCAAGAAAUUAAAAAAAAA